Long non-coding RNA from Homo sapiens (human), 839 nucleotides. RefSeq lists it as uncharacterized. The record is from RefSeq and is a predicted model, not a curated record. The transcript is spliced from 5 exons. NCBI's taxonomy places the organism in Eukaryota, Metazoa, Chordata, Mammalia, Primates, Hominidae.
GAGUGACUGUUAAUGACAUAAUGAACAUGUACAUUAAGAGAGGUUUGGAAGAGAGUCUUUUCUUGCUAGAAAGAGUAUAGAUCUGGAGCCAGGAUGCUGGACUAGUUAAGGGCCGCUGGUUGUGGAGUCAGAUGGACUGGGAUUAAAUCUUGACUCGUCCACCAACUAUCAACUUGAUCAAAAUGAAGUCUUAGUAUGUUGUCCAGGCUGGUCUUGAACUUCUGGCCUUAAGUGAUCCUCCUGCCUUGGCCUCCCAAAGUGUGGGAUUACAGGCAUGAGCCACUGUGUCUGGCUGAAAUUGGAAUUCUAAAGAAUCAAAUUUUGCCCCAAUUUGCUGUGCUGCCUGUGCUUGGAAUAAACAUUUUGCAGCCAUACAGAAAUCAGAAGAUUUAUUGAGAAUACGGUACAUGCUCCUAGUGGGUAGAGAGGAAUCAGACAUAGCUCCCGCCGUCAAGGAGAUCUGAGUUUCAUGAUGAAGAUACAAAAAUGAAAAUGACUAUGUGUGGAAUGUGCUAAUAGUGAUAUGAGCAGGGCAAGCUCAAGGCACGAGGGAAGGUCAAAGGAAGCUUAUGAAAGAAAGAGAUUCUUCGGCAGUGUUAAGCAAACAUCCAUGACACAGAUACUGCUGAAAAGUGACCUGUAUCCAGCUGAGGAGCACUGGUUGUACAUUUGUGUUUGGUGCUGACAGAAGAGUCUACGCUACUAAGAAUAUUAAGUUAUCAUCUGGCCUCUGGAUUGAGGAGGUAGCAUUAUAUAAGUAAAUGGAGGGUCAGAGACACUGUUGGUUACCCAAGAUCGUAUUCCAGAUCACUGGUGAAGCCUGUUAGCAACUCCAAGCA